Long non-coding RNA from Homo sapiens (human), 3199 nucleotides. The record is from Ensembl. NCBI's taxonomy places the organism in Eukaryota, Metazoa, Chordata, Mammalia, Primates, Hominidae.
GGCAAAUGGAACCAGGAUCACAGGAAGGUGCUGCUCUGUCCCCACUGCAUUGGCAAACAUUAGUAGGCCAAUACCAGCGAAGUACAGAACAUGGAGCAACAGAAACUUCAAAAUUACUGGUGGGAGCAGACAUGGACAAGCCACUUUGGAAAUAAUCUGGCACUGACAGUAAGCUGAACAUGCAUCCAUGCAUGACACAGGAAUUUCAUUUCUAGGCAGUUGAGCCCAGGAGAAGCUUAUGUACUGUGUGCCAGGAGGUGUGAGCCAGAACAAAGAAGCCACGUGCUCCAGAGCUGAAGAGCGCAGCAAGACGCUGUGUAUGAUCCCCUCCGGGAGGAUGAGCAGUGAAACUGCACUGCAGCUGCUCAUGACCCUGGAGGAGGUGAACGGUGACAAAGGAAAUGGGAGGCCCCAUGGCCUGUGCAGGCUCACCCUGGCCGGCUGGCGCUGCGGAUCCCCAUGGAGCAGGAGGAGGGCCCCUCCGAGAGAAACAGUAUACGAGGAGAAUGAGAAGCUGCCGCCUGUUCACACCGCCUGUCACCUCCCUCUGUGUUGCGCCAUGCUGAGACAUGGUACCCCUCGCCCCUGGACACACACAGGGUUUUUCCCCAAUUGAGCAGAUCUCCUAUGUGACCAAAACAUACUUCUCCAAACCAGAACGUGCCCCUUCAGAUGUCCCCAGCUGUCCCAACUGCGUCUCUCCUUCCUUGUCCCCUCAGGCCCCAGCAUGGCUGGUCUUGACAGCCUGGGUGCAGCUGCUGGCACCACAGAUUGCUGAAUCUGGGCCUAACGCUGCAUAUCCAUGCUGAGUUGAUGCCAGGUUUGGAGCCCCAUGGAAAUGCUGCCUGUGUGCCUCAGACGCGGCCCCACCACUGUGCUCCAUGGGAUGUCCUGAGACCACUGUCCACUCCUGAGUCUGAGACCCUAUGAUGGCUCAUGGCAACACCAACGACAGUGAGGGUCCCAAAAGGUGGCUUUCCGUUUCCAUCAUUCCUCCCGCAUCUGUUGGCUUUCUACCAGCAGAAAGAGCUUCUCCUUUUCCCUUAUUCAUUUGUAUCAGUAUCCACUCAGUCACUUGUUUAUUCCAUAGGCUGUAACCUGUUUAAGAUCACUAUUGGUCGUGAUGCUCAAGCCCCCAGGUCUGGCCAGUAUGAGCUCCUGUAAACUGCUCCUGGUUCUUCUGACACAGCCCCACCAUUCUUUGAGGUCUUCCUACUCUCUGGCAUCAUCAGCUGUUCUAGGCUCAUUUUGUACUUCCCUGCCCAGCUCUAGAAUCAAAGGAGCUGACAGUAUUUACAAACCAGGACCUGGGCUCGUUGCUCCUGGAGCUUCAUUACUUCUAGGGCCUGUCAGUGGAAAGAGCUAGGAAGGACACACUGGUGUGUGCAGGUGCAUGAGCCACUUGCAGCCACUUCCACCCCUGUCUGUGCACACCCAUAUUCAAAACACGCAGGCACGAGCUCUCCCAGACACCUCAGUCUAGCUCUUUUGACAUCUGUCAGUCGCUUUGCUGUUGGGGAGAGACUGUGUCCCUUCACCCUCAGUGUAUCCCCUUGUUUGAUCAGCCGAUUUACAGUCUCCCAAGAGUGCCUGCUGUCCCCUCCCAGCCCACUCCUCUGUGGGCACAUGGAGCGUGACAUGGAGCUGACACAACGCAGUCAUUUAUCUGACACUGAGACUUUCCCGGGCCUAAUACCAGGCCAGGCACCUCUGUCCUUUUGGUCACAGCGUGGCGUUUAAAUGAGGGCUGGUACCCCCACGGGGGAGGCGAGAUGGGGUUUUCAGAUUCUCAAGAGCUCUAACAUGGAAAGGACUGGAUAUUCGAGCACUUUGUAUCAUCACAAUCAUUUGAAGUAACAACUAACCGCCGGCAGCACCAGAAGCUCCCUUUGGAAAUUUCCUGAUUGGCACACCUAGCAGAAGAGAGUCCCUCACUGACACAGCGUCCGACUGAAAUGUUAACAGAAAUCCCCAGGCUACAAGGCUGGACAAAAGGUGCCUGACUUUUAAAUCUUUUGAUUACAUACAGGAUGGAAAGACUGUAUCUCCAAGUCUAAUUGUGUGGAUUUUUAACCAGUUUUUCUAGACUCUAUUUGUGUUUUUGAAGUAAAUACGUCCAUGUAGUGAUACAAGCAGAAAGGAAUGCAGUGGCUAUGCUGCUGAAUUGCCUCCUGUAAACCAUAUUAGCCUAACUUUCCUGGACGUGGUCCUGAGGCUCGGACACGCAAACACAGACCUAGCGACACACACGUCUGCCCCUAAGAGUCGUCUGGUUGGUAAAAAACAAGGGAGCACAGCAACUUGCUGGCUCAGGAGGCAUCAGACCCACUUGUCUGACCCUGUGUGGGGACGGAAGUCAGAGAUCAGUCGCCCUCAGUGGAUGAACAUGGGUGUCCAGGAAGGACCCCUCAGGGGACCUGCACCAUCCACAAGACCAUCCACAAAAAUAACUGGGAACAGCUGAGGAGCUCUGUUAGAAGGAUUGCUUGUCCACAGGGAGUUAAAAAAUGUGUCCUAAAUGUUGCUUAGUAAAACAAACAACCAGAAAAGCCUCUCUAUUCCAAACCCAUGGUGGGGCAUAAACCUGGGAGAGCUGGAAUGUCAUUGCAGCACUUUGCCACAGGAGCAAAAACACAACCCCCACCAGAAGGGAUGGCCGACCAGGGCAUGACUUGCGCUGUCUUUCUGGUAGUGACUGAUGCCCCAGAACCCUCGCAAGGGCUUGUGCCAAACAUUCUCCAUGUGCCCCAGCCCCAGUGGGGUGGCCCAGCCCUCAGCACUUACCUCAUCUCCAGACCUUUGCAGAACAGACCAGCUGGGAGCCUCCAUCCUCCCUUGACCCAACUUUUCUUGUUUGUACAGACUUGGGAAGAACCAGGGAAACCCAGAGUUGAAAGAGACCCACUCUACUGGAAAUAUAUCCCAAUGGCAUUUUUAAAACGAAGAGCUGGGGAAUUUUAAUAAACAAACAGCAAAUGCAAGCAUGAAUAAUGGGCCUGUAUGGACAGGAAGAGAGCCAGGGCAGGAGACAGCAAAUGACAGGCCAGAAGCCAGAUCCCACGCCCUUCUGUUCUUGUAUGGAACCUCAAGCUAAACAUGGUUGAAAAGAACUCCAAAGAUUUCGUGACAUGUGAAAAUUACAUUAAAUGCAAACUUCAGACUUCAGUGUCUGUAAUAAAGUUUGAUUGGCACACAGCCA